This 408-nucleotide ribosomal RNA is filed under the name uncultured bacterium. RNAcentral describes it as "partial 16S ribosomal RNA". It matches the Rfam family "Bacterial small subunit ribosomal RNA", at positions 28 to 526 of the family's 1533-position model. The record is from RNAcentral.
GACGAACGCUGGCGGCGUGCCUAAUACAUGCAAGUCGAGCGAAGCGGCGGAUGGGUGAGUAAUGCGUGGGUAACCUGCCCUUAAGCCUGGGAUAGCAUUUGGCAACGGAUGCUAAUACCGGAUAAUAAAGGAUGGACCUGCGAUGCAUUAGCUAGUUGGUAAGGUAACGGCUUACUAAGGCGAUGAUGCAUAGCCGGUUUGAGAGGAUGAUAGGACACAUUGGGACUGAGACACGGCCCAAACUCCUACGGGAGGCAGCAGUGGGGAAUCUUCCACAAUGGACGCAAGUCUGAUGGAGCAACGCCGCGUGAAUGAAGAAGGUUUUCGGAUCGUAAAGCUCUGUUGUUGGUGAAGCGGUAAUCAACCAGAAAGUCACGGCUAACUACGUGCCAGCAGCCGCGGUAAUUC